GACGAACGCUGGCGGCGUGCCUAAUACAUGCAAGUCGAACGCUUUUUCUUUCACCGAGACUUGUCUCACCGAAAGAAAAAGAGUGGCGAACGGGUGAGUAACACGUGGGUAACCUGCCCUCGAGAAGGGGAUAACACUUGGAAACAGGUGCUAAUACCGUAUAACAAUAACUGCCGCAUGGCAGAUAUUUGAAAGGCGCUUUUGCGUCACUCGAGGAUGGACCCGCGGUGCAUUAGCUAGUUGGUGAGGUAACGGCUCACCAAGGCGACGAUGCAUAGCCGACCUGAGAGGGUGAUCGGCCACACUGGGACUGAGACACGGCCCAGACUCCUACGGGAGGCAGCAGUAGGGAAUCUUCGGCAAUGGACGAAGGUCUGACCGAGCAACGCCGCGUGAGUGAAGAAGGUUUUCGGAUCGUAAAACUCUGUUGUUAGAGAAGAACAAGGAUGAGAGUAGAACGUUCAUCCCUUGACGGUAUCUAACCAGAAAGCCACGGCUAACUACGUGCCAGCAGCCGCGGUAAUACGUAGGUGGCAAGCGUUGUCCGGAUUUAUUGGGCGUAAAGCGAGCGCAGGCGGUUCUUUAAGUCUGAUGUGAAAGCCCCCGGCUCAACCGGGGAGGGUCAUUGGAAACUGGAGAACUUGAGUGCAGAAGAGGAGAGUGGAAUUCCAUGUGUAGCGGUGAAAUGCGUAGAUAUAUGGAGGAACACCAGUGGCGAAGGCGGCUCUCUGGUCUGUAACUGACGCUGAGGCUCGGAAAGCGUGUGGAGCAAACAGG
Molecule: ribosomal RNA, 777 nt
Filed under: uncultured Enterococcus sp.
Lineage: Bacteria; Bacillati; Bacillota; Bacilli; Lactobacillales; Enterococcaceae
Description: bacterial SSU rRNA
Rfam family: Bacterial small subunit ribosomal RNA
Source: RNAcentral